Molecule: long non-coding RNA, 1153 nt
Organism: Bos indicus x Bos taurus (hybrid cattle)
Lineage: Eukaryota; Metazoa; Chordata; Mammalia; Artiodactyla; Bovidae
Source: Ensembl
CUCAUGAGGUCUCAGUUUUCUCAUCUGGAAAAUGAGAUAGUUGGAGUUGAUGGUCCCUUCUAGCUUCAGGGUUCAUUGAUAGCGCUCCUUGCCAAAAGAACUGAUUUGAAAUCACAGAGAACAAGAGCUGGCAUACUGUCAAUGGGUAAUAAAUGCUUAAUCAAUGGAUAAAUAAAGUUUUGAUCUUCAGUUCUUUCCGAGCUGAUCCUGAAAAUUCCAAAGUUUAAGAUAAAAUCAGUUCAGAAAACCCUAUUCCUUAACCUUCACUGACUUGACUUCUCCUUAGGGGCUUUCUGCAUCUUUAAGCCUGGUGAGAGAAAGAUAUCAGCUCUGCAGAAACACUGGGAUUCACAUUUCAAGUUAUGAGAUGGCAGUUGAUGGCUGCAAGUACAUAGACACACAGAGAUGCAGUGGUCCCCUCUUCUCGCCUUUUGCAGUUUCCCCGCACAGCCUGGCACUUGCGUUGGCAUUUGCUGUCUGAGUCUGGCUACUGACUAGAGUCCCACCCUCACACAGACCUCAGGUAUCUGGGCCUCCCUCCGCGGCUGUGAAUCAUCAGAGGUGCUGAGUCUUCUCCCGCUUUGAGUUACUGGCAGAGGUGUUGUUUCUUCCUAAAAGUGGAGGGAGAGAGUUGCUAAGAAACACACUAACGUGCUGAUGACACAACAGUCUCCGAGAGCUUGGGCCUCCAACGUUUGCCUCUAAUCAGGAAAUCAUUUUUAGAAGGAUUUGUUGGUGUAAGAAAACAAGCUCCCGAACUAAAUUAGGAUCUGGAUUAUUUUUUCCUCCUCUCCCAAUCUGCCUCACACGGCAGAUUGGUGAGCCCUCACGAUUCUGUGCGUGGCGAAUUUGUUUCUGUUGCACAUUUUAAUUCAGAGCUCCGGAAGGUGAAGGUGUCUGUGUUUCUAAGGACUGCGUUUUUUGGAGCAGCUCCCUUGGAGGUGUGGGGCUCGCCUCUCCUUUCCUCAAACCAGUUGGCUUUCUUGGCAAGGUGGCCCCGGUUUCAGGAUUCUUUAAUCUGAUUGUCUUUUUCUUUUUUUUCCCCCUGCCAGUAAUGAAUGCACCGCGUGUCUCUGGGAAAUUAAGACAUUCCAUGGAGUGGAGAAGUGCCCAUCAGACUGCAGUAUGAACCUAUUUUAGGGAUCAGAAGAAA